UACGGAGGGUGCAAGCAUUAAUCGGAUUUAUUGGGCGUAAAGGGCGCGUAGGCGGAAGUGAAAGUCAGAUGUGAAAUCCCGGGGCUCAACCUCGGAACAGCAUUUGAAACUCCUCUUCUAGAGGGUAGGCGGAGAAAACGGAAUUCCACAAGUAGCGGUGAAAUGCGUAGAUAUGUGGAAGAACACCGGUGGCGAAGGCGGUUUUCUAGCUUAUUCCUGACGCUGAGGCGCGAAAGCAAGGGGGAUCAAAACAGGGAAUUAGAGU
This 265-nucleotide ribosomal RNA is filed under the name uncultured bacterium. RNAcentral describes it as "partial 16S ribosomal RNA". It matches the Rfam family "Bacterial small subunit ribosomal RNA", at positions 524 to 784 of the family's 1533-position model. The record is from RNAcentral.